ACUCCUACGGGAGGCAGCAGUGGGAAUAUUGCACAAUGGGCGAAAGCCUGAUGCAGCAACGCCGCGUGAGCGAUGAAGGCCUUCGGGUCGUAAAGCUCUGUCCUAAGGGAAGAAUAAUGACGGUACCUUGGGAGGAAGCCCCGGCUAACUACGUGCCAGCAGCCGCGGUAAUACGUAGGGCGAAGCGUUAUCCGGAAUCACUGGGCGUAAAGGGUGCGUAGGCGGCUCUUCAAGUCAGGGGUGAAAGGCUACGGCUCAACCGUAGUAAGCCUUUGAAACUGUAGAGCUUGAGUGCAGGAGAGGAGAGUGGAAUUCCUAGUGUAGCGGUGAAAUGCGUAGAUAUUAGGAGGAACACCAGUGGCGAAGGCGACUCUCUGGACUGUAACUGACGCUGAGGCACGAAAGCGUGGGAGCAAACAGGAUUAGAUACCCUGGUAGGCUCUGC
RNAcentral lists this ribosomal RNA (445 nucleotides) under uncultured bacterium. Its description in RNAcentral is "bacterial SSU rRNA". It matches the Rfam family "Bacterial small subunit ribosomal RNA", at positions 335 to 800 of the family's 1533-position model. The record is from RNAcentral.